GAUGAACGCUGGCGGCGUGCCUAAUACAUGCAAGUCGAGCGAACAGACGAGGAGCUUGCUCCUCUGACGUUAGCGGCGGACGGGUGAGUAACACGUGGAUAACCUACCUAUAAGACUGGGAUAACUUCGGGAAACCGGAGCUAAUACCGGAUAAUAUAUUGAACCGCAUGGUUCAAUAGUGAAAGACGGUUUUGCUGUCACUUAUAGAUGUAUCCGCGCCGCAUUAGCUAGUUGGUAAGGUAACGGCUUACCAAGGCGACGAUGCGUAGCCGACGUGAGAGGGGGAUGGGCCACACUGGAACUGAGACACGGUCCAGAAUCCUACGGGAGGCAGCAGUAGGGAAUCGACGGCAAUGGGCGAAAGCCUGAAGGAGCAACGCCGCGUGAGUGAUGAAGGUCUUCGGAUCGUAAAACUCUGUUAUUAGGGAAGAACAAAUGUGUAAGUAACUAUGCACGUCUUGACGGUACCUAAUCAGAAAGCCACGGCUAACUACGUG
Molecule: ribosomal RNA, 497 nt
Filed under: uncultured bacterium
Lineage: Bacteria
Description: partial 16S ribosomal RNA
Rfam family: Bacterial small subunit ribosomal RNA
Source: RNAcentral